RNAcentral lists this ribosomal RNA (497 nucleotides) under uncultured bacterium. RNAcentral's name for it is "partial 16S ribosomal RNA". It matches the Rfam family "Bacterial small subunit ribosomal RNA", at positions 28 to 507 of the family's 1533-position model. The record is from RNAcentral.
GAUGAACGCUGGCGGCGUGCCUAAUACAUGCAAGUCGAGCGAACAGAUGAGGAGCUUGCUCCUCUGACGUUAGCGGCGGACGGGUGAGUAACACGUGGAUAACCUACCUAUAAGACUGGGAUAACUUCGGGAAACCGGAGCUAAUACCGGAUAAUAUAUUGAACCGCAUGGUUCAAUAGUGAAAGACGGUUUUGCUGUCACUUAUAGAUGGAUCCGCGCCGCAUUAGCUAGUUGGUAAGGUAACGGCUUACCAAGGCAACGAUGCGUAGCCGACCUGAGAGGGUGAUCGGCCACACUGGGACUGAGACACGAUCCAGACUCCUACGGGAGGCAGCAGUAGGGAAUCUUCCGCAAUGGGCGAAAGCCUGACGGAGCAACGCCGCGUGAGUAAUGAAGGUCUUCGGAUCGUAGAACUCUGUUAUUAGGGAAGAACAAAUGUGUAAGUAACUAUGCACGUCUUGACGGUACCUAAUCAGAAAGCCACGGCUAACUACGUG